This 72-nucleotide transfer RNA is filed under the name Camelus bactrianus (Bactrian camel). It matches the Rfam family "tRNA". From Rfam's summary of the family: Transfer RNA (tRNA) molecules are approximately 80 nucleotides in length. The record is from Rfam by way of RNAcentral. Lineage: Eukaryota; Metazoa; Chordata; Mammalia; Artiodactyla; Camelidae. RNAcentral also lists the same sequence under 1 other name.
GUAGGUAUAGCUCAGUGGUAGAGUGCAUGUUUAGCAUGCACAAAGUCCUAGGUUUAAUCCUCAGUGCCUCCA